GACGAACGCUGGCGGCGUGCCUAACACAUGCAAGUCGAGCGAAUGAAGUUCCUUCGGGAAUGGAUUUAGCGGCGGACGGGUGAGUAACACGUGGGCAACCUGCCUCAUAGAGGGGAAUAGCCUUCCGAAAGGGAGAUUAAUACCGCAUAAGAUUGUAGUAUCGCAUGAUACAGCAAUUAAAGGAGCAAUCCGCUAUGAGAUGGGCCCGCGGCGCCUUAGCUAGUUGGUGAGGUAACGGCCCACCAAGGCGACGAUGCGUAGCCGACCUGAGAGGGUGAGCGGCCACAGUGGGACUGGGACACGGCCCAGACUCCUACGGGAGGCAGCAGUGGGGAAUAUUGCACAAUGGGGGAAACCCUGAUGCAGCAACGCCGCGUGAGUGAUGACGGCCUUCGGGUUGUAAAGCUCUGUCUUCAGGGACGAUAAUGACGGUACCUGAGGAGGAAGCCACGGCUAACUACGUG
RNAcentral lists this ribosomal RNA (464 nucleotides) under uncultured bacterium. RNAcentral's name for it is "partial 16S ribosomal RNA". It matches the Rfam family "Bacterial small subunit ribosomal RNA", at positions 28 to 507 of the family's 1533-position model. The record is from RNAcentral.